This 688-nucleotide unclassified non-coding RNA is filed under the name Bombus terrestris (buff-tailed bumblebee). RNAcentral's name for it is "misc RNA ENSBTSG00005023810.1". The record is from RNAcentral. Lineage: Eukaryota; Metazoa; Arthropoda; Insecta; Hymenoptera; Apidae.
AACGCUCGUUAUUGAUGUCGGCCAUAAACAUACUUUUCUUUUUAUAUUCUUCUUCUUGGUAUGGAUCAUGCCAAUACGUUGCUUGAAUAAAUUUUCCUUGAACUGGUCUGUAAUGAAAUAAAAUAAUUCUAUAACAUGAGUAACGAACUGAAAUGAAAGUAUUUAUAAAAGAAUAUAUACUUUAUAUUUUAUAUGUACUAUGUAAUAAUUAUACACGUGUAGGUAUAAGUUAUUGCUAUUAUAUAAAAGUGUACGUUAAUAUAAAUGUUAAAGGAACAAUAUUACAAUCCCUUUUAAAAGGUAUUUUAUACUUUGUAUACUACUUAUACUUAUUAUUACUAAUUAAUGAGAUCUGAUUAUAUCUAAUAAAUUUCGUAUCACUUGUAAUACAAAAAAUUGAUACUAUACAAAUGAAAUGUAAAACUUUAUAAAAAAGACGCUUUAUUGGUAAAAGAGGUACGUAUAAAUACGGUAAUUAUUUAGAGAGCUACAAUUAUCUUGGAUUUCGAUGAUUUUUUGAUAUAUUAUCGGGAACAUGAUUCUAAACAACUUUCAUCUAUAAGUGUAGUCGCCGUUCGGUCUUAUUUUACGAAAUAUUUAUUAAAAGCUGUUAAUAUCAUUAUAAUGAAUUCUGCCUAUAAUUGUACGUUCGUGAUAGCGUAUAGGAACGUAAAAGGAAUCUUUCGUC